Molecule: ribosomal RNA, 301 nt
Filed under: uncultured bacterium
Lineage: Bacteria
Description: partial 16S ribosomal RNA
Rfam family: Bacterial small subunit ribosomal RNA
Source: RNAcentral
CAGCCGCCGCGGUAAUACCGAGGGUGCGAGCGUUAAUCGGAUUUACUGGGCGUAAAGCGUGCGUAGGCGGCUAAUUGAGUCGGAUGUGAAAUCCCCGAGCUUAACUUGGGAAUUGCAUUCGAUACUGGUUAGCUAGAGUGUGGGAGAGGAUGGUAGAAUUCCAGGUGUAGCGGUGAAAUGCGUAGAGAUCUGGAGGAAUACCGAUGGCGAAGGCAGCCAUCUGGCCUAACACUGACGCUGAGGUACGAAAGCAUGGGGAGCAAACAGGAUUAGAUACCCCCGUAGUCCCUGUCUCUUAUAA